Molecule: long non-coding RNA, 1655 nt
Organism: Malaclemys terrapin pileata
Lineage: Eukaryota; Metazoa; Chordata; Testudines; Emydidae
Exons: 2
Source: RefSeq, a predicted model, not a curated record
UACUGUACGUUUCAGCAAUUUUUCACUCAAGUGGACAGCAUGCAAUUUUCAACUUUCUCAGGGCAGCAGUAAUUUGUACUCCCCCUUUUUUAUGAUUUUUUCAAAGCCUUUUUGAUGAAUAUGCCCAUUAUUCAUCUUAGAGCUAGAUUGGACCAUUUAGCAGCCUAACUUUCUUCCCCUUUUGGAGUUGAACAUCUCUUAGGAGCUUAAAAGUGAAGAAGAGUUCACCGCAUUAGCCACAUUCGGGAGCGGAAACACAACUUUAAUGGAUGUCACACAAAAAAAGGCUCGUGGCAUUUUGACAUAGAAGAACAAAAUCUGUUGUAAAUCUCUAAGGAGGCUCUUCCUUUUUGUGACUGAGUGGCUAUUGUUUCCAAGCCUUCAAAUGUUAUCAAACAGCCCACAGUUCAUCAAUAGAAAUACAGUAUAAGCAUUUUUGUGGGCCAGAUUCUUGCCUGGAGUAAAUCAAUGUAGCUCUAUCAGUUUAAAUUGAGCUAUUCUGUGUCAUACCAGCUGAGGAUAUUGACUUGUGUGAUCUGAGGUAAACAUGUUCAUGAAGGCAAUUUUUUCCUUGGCUCCAGAAUGCCGUUUAGAGCUGGAGCAAGAACAGAAACGAAAGUUCUAAAUCAAAGUCUGAAAGUUCUAAAUCAAAACUUAAAAUUUAGAAAGAAGUUCUUUUGAAAAAUAGAGCCAGACUCUCUGCUGGAAUAAAUUGGCAUAGUUCCACUGAAGUAAAUGGAAAUGGUGGCAUGUUUCACAGCAAACAAUUGUAAUCAAUGAAGCUAAUCAAUCUAUACCAACUGAGGAUCUGACCCUUUAUAUUUAUAUUAAUAUAUUGGACUUCUUUUUUGUUUCAGUAUUUAAAGUUUCCUCUCCCUUGUUUAUUUCCUACAAAAAUGGAGCUGGUCAAAUAGUACAAAUUUGUGAAUAUUUGCAUGCUGAGUUUGGUCUGCUAUGGUUCAUGGAAUCCCAUUAUAUGUCAUUCGUGACUAUUCCAAUGUGUGCUGUGUAUUAUAACAAUAUCAUAAAUAUGGAAAUAUUUGAAAAUUCUAGUAUGCAUAAUUGAUAAGUUGUCUGAAAAUUUGUACCAGAAGUUAAUACUUCCUUAUUCUGCCUUUGAUAUUCCCCUGUUUACAAAGUUUACAAAGUUUUAAUCAUCCAAUCAAGGAUUUGACCCAAUCCUCCAUUUUUGUACAAAAGUAGCAAGUUCUGCAAUGGUUUAUUCUUACAUACUUUGACCAGUUCAUUGAAGUCCCAGGUCUCAGCAGAUGCUAUUGUUAUUAAUAGGAAUUGAUGGUUGCUGAGCAUUUUUGAAAAUCUCACUACUUAAUUUAGGUACCAAAAUGUGAGCUGAGCUCUCUCAAUAAUCUGGCCUCUGUUGUGGGUGCUAGAUCCUAAAUUUAAUGGUAAUGUGGUCAAACACUGGGAAAAGUUUUCUGAAUAAAUUAUUCUGAAUUGUUUGAAGCAAACAAAAAUUGUUUAUUUGGAUAUUGUUUAACUAUCUACAGAGUUGGUUGAAUAGUGGAAACAGGUAUAUAAGGAUAGAUUAUUCAACAAUUGAUGUAAAAAUAAUCAGAGUAUUUGUGAGUGCUUUUUGACCAGUUCUAUUAGUUGUACAUUACACAGUACGCCAUUAAAAAUUACAAGGAUAUUUA